ACGGGAGGCAGCAGUGGGGAAUAUUGCACAAUGGGCGAAAGCCUGAUGCAGCGACGCCGCGUGAGCGAAGAAGUAUUUCGGUAUGUAAAGCUCUAUCAGCAGGGAAGAAAAUGACGGUACCUGACUAAGAAGCACCGGCUAAAUACGUGCCAGCAGCCGCGGUAAUACGUAUGGUGCAAGCGUUAUCCGGAUUUACUGGGUGUAAAGGGAGCGUAGACGGCUUAGUAAGUCUGAAGUGAAAGCCCGGGGCUCAACCCCGGGACUGCUUUGGAAACUAUUGAGCUAGAGUGUCGGAGGGGCAAGUGGAAUUCCCAGUGUAGCGGUGAAAUGCGUAGAUAUUGGGAGGAACACCAGUGGCGAAGGCGGCUUGCUGGACGAUGACUGACGUUGAGGCUCGAAAGCGUGGGGAGCAAACAGGAUUAGAUACCCUGGUA
RNAcentral lists this ribosomal RNA (434 nucleotides) under uncultured Dorea sp. Its description in RNAcentral is "partial 16S ribosomal RNA". It matches the Rfam family "Bacterial small subunit ribosomal RNA", at positions 341 to 792 of the family's 1533-position model. The record is from RNAcentral. Lineage: Bacteria; Bacillati; Bacillota; Clostridia; Lachnospirales; Lachnospiraceae. RNAcentral also lists the same sequence under 2 other names.